Molecule: ribosomal RNA, 253 nt
Filed under: uncultured bacterium
Lineage: Bacteria
Description: partial 16S ribosomal RNA
Rfam family: Bacterial small subunit ribosomal RNA
Source: RNAcentral
UACGUAGGUGACCAGCGUUGUCCGGAUUUACUGGGCGUAAAGGGCGCGUAGGCGGCCGCUUGCGUCGGAUGUGAAAGCCCGGGGCUCAACCCCGGAACGGCAUCCGAUACGGGGCGGCUCGAGACCGAGAGAGGUGAGUGGAAUACCCAGUGUAGAGGUGAAAUUCGUAGAUAUUGGGUGGAACACCGGUGGCGAAAGCGGCUCACUGGCUCGGUUCUGACGCUGAGGCGCGAAAGCGUGGGGAGCAAACAGG